UACGUAGGUGGCAAGCGUUAUCCGGAUUUAUUGGGUGUAAAGGGCGUGUAGGCGGGAAUGCAAGUCAGAUGUGAAAACUCAGGGCUCAACCCUGAGCCUGCAUUUGAAACUGUAUUUCUUGAGUGCUGGAGAGGCAAUCGGAAUUCCGUGUGUAGCGGUGAAAUGCGUAGAUAUACGGAGGAAUACCAGUGGCGAAGGCGGAUUGCUGGACAGUAACUGACGCUGAGGCGCGAAAGUGUGGGUAUCAAACAGG
RNAcentral lists this ribosomal RNA (253 nucleotides) under uncultured bacterium. RNAcentral's name for it is "partial 16S ribosomal RNA". It matches the Rfam family "Bacterial small subunit ribosomal RNA", at positions 524 to 776 of the family's 1533-position model. The record is from RNAcentral.